This 1067-nucleotide long non-coding RNA is filed under the name Zostera marina. RNAcentral's name for it is "long non-coding RNA (ZMAR_LNC001760)". Lineage: Eukaryota; Viridiplantae; Streptophyta; Magnoliopsida; Alismatales; Zosteraceae. The record is from RNAcentral.
GUUUUCAAAAUAAGGAUGAGAUUAUAAAGUUAAUUAAACUUUUCUUUUGUGAUGAUUUUCACAAUAAAGAUGAGAAAAUAAUAAAGUUGAUAUACAUUUUUUUUUGUGAUGGAUUUUACAAUAAAGAAGAAAAAUGAUACAUAAAUUGAUUUAUGGUUCAUGAGAGUCAUAAAUGAUGUCUAUUGUGAGUAUGGACUCACCAUGAGGAUUAGAUUAUGAAGGACUGACAAAAGAAUGAUACAUAUAUGAAAUAUCAUUCAGUUUGCUGCACUAUCACAUGAAACUCAUGUUAAUGAAGAUGAACGUAAUAUGAUCCGCAGACGUUUCUAUGUUGCACAUUUAGACAUAACGACGAUGUAAUUCAUUAUUGUAGUCUAUGUGUGACCGAGUGUAGACUUGAAAGGAAAAGAAAAGAAAAAAUAAAAAUAAACAAAGCAUGCAUUAAAGAUUGUUUAUAUGGUUGAAUAAAGGUUAAUAUAUGUGUAGUAGAUCAAGUGGGAGAAUGUUAGCAAUAUCUCUUGUUAUCUUAUCAAGUAAACGAUCUACACGUACAUAUUAACAAUGACAAGUCUUAAGUUAUUUAAGUGAUUAUAAAUUCAUGUGGAUACAUUAGUGUAGGUCACGAUAAGGCAAGAUGAUUUAUGAUGAUAGUGAUCUCUUGACCUAAGUCAUAAAGAGUAAAAAAGACUAAGUCCUUAUUGGAGCCUAAACAGGACCUCCUCAUAUUAAAGUAUCAAUAUAUGGAUCAAUGUGUAAAUAACACAUUGAUUUGAUAUAAAUAAGAUAUGAGGGUUAAAGAAACAUCAUCUAUUCUAUUUAGUCCAAAAUAAGACAUUCAAUAUUAGAGACGAGUCUCAGGAAUCCCAAAAGAGGAAAUUUCGAUCAGAAGAAAGGCAAAAGAAAUAUACAGAGAUCAAGUCUGUACUUUCGCUGUAAUGAAUUCAACACAAGAUACGUUUGAAUCUGUAAAUACAUUAUAUUCUUGAUAUAGAAAUCUUAGAUCAUAAAGUAUGAUAAUUUCUAUGAGGGGGAUGUUAAAAUAUAUGAUUAUAUUGUGAGUUGUCAAU